CCUACGGGUGGCAGCAGUGGGGAAUCUUGCGCAAUGGGCGAAAGCCUGACGCAGCAACGCCGCGUGCGGGAAGAAGGCCUUCGGGUUGUAAACCGCUUUCAGAAGGAACGAAACUGACGGUACUUUCAGAAGAAGGUGCGGCCAACUACGUGCCAGCAGCCGCGGUGACACGUAGGCACCAAGCGUUGUCCGGAUUUAUUGGGCGUAAAGAGCUCGUAGGCGGUUCGGUAAGUCGGGUGUGAAAACUUUGGGCUCAACCCAAAGCGUGCACUCGAUACUGCCGUGACUAGAGUUCGGUAGGGGAGUGGGGAAUUCCUAGUGUAGCGGUGAAAUGCGCAGAUAUUAGGAGGAACACCGGUGGCGAAGGCGCCACUCUGGGCCGAAACUGACGCUGAGGAGCGAAAGCGUGGGUAGCAAACAGGAUUAGAUACCCCUGUAGUC
Molecule: ribosomal RNA, 441 nt
Filed under: uncultured bacterium
Lineage: Bacteria
Description: bacterial SSU rRNA
Rfam family: Bacterial small subunit ribosomal RNA
Source: RNAcentral